AACCAGCUUGACAACAACCCCAGGGUCAGAACUCUAGAUUCCCAAAUCAAACAUUGCAUCUUCGUAACUAGUUACUAAUUUAAAAUAUGGAUUCGAAAACUCAACACUGAAUGAAUUUGGUUAUGGCAGACCUUCUACCUGGCUGGGAACCCUAGAGACGAGUUCGAGCAAUCACAGCAGAAAAGAUUACUUCUCAGCAGGGGCGACAGGCAAAGCCAAGGCAGCUGCAACAACCUCUUCUGCGGGAUGG
RNAcentral lists this long non-coding RNA (250 nucleotides) under Linum usitatissimum (flax). RNAcentral describes it as "long non-coding RNA (LUSI_LNC000558)". The record is from RNAcentral. Lineage: Eukaryota; Viridiplantae; Streptophyta; Magnoliopsida; Malpighiales; Linaceae.